RNAcentral lists this ribosomal RNA (440 nucleotides) under uncultured bacterium. RNAcentral describes it as "partial 16S ribosomal RNA". It matches the Rfam family "Bacterial small subunit ribosomal RNA", at positions 338 to 795 of the family's 1533-position model. The record is from RNAcentral.
CCUACGGGUGGCAGCAGUGGGGAAUAUUGCACAAUGGGGGAAACCCUGAUGCAGCGACGCCGCGUGAGUGAAGAAGUAUCUCGGUACGUAAAGCUCUAUCAGCAGGGAAGAAAAUGACGGUACCUGACUAAGAAGCCCCGGAUAACUACGUGCCAGCAGCCGCGGGAAUACGUAGGGGGCAAGCGUUAUCCGGAUUUACUGGGUGUAAAGGGAGCGUAGACGGCAGCACAAGUCUGGAGUGAAAUCCCGGGGCGUAACCCCGGAACUGCGUUGGAAACUGUGCUGCUGGAGUGCAGGAGUGUUAAGAGGAAUUCCUAGUGUAGCGGUGAAACGCGUAGAUAUUAGGAGGAACUCCGGUGGCGACGGCGGCUUACUGGACUGUACCUGACGUUGAGGCUCGAAAGCGUGGGGAGCAAACAGGAUUAGCUAACCCAGUAGUC